This 93-nucleotide transfer RNA is filed under the name Bacteriovoracaceae bacterium. RNAcentral's name for it is "tRNA-Ser". It matches the Rfam family "tRNA". Rfam says of the family: Transfer RNA (tRNA) molecules are approximately 80 nucleotides in length. The record is from RNAcentral. Lineage: Bacteria; Pseudomonadati; Bdellovibrionota; Bacteriovoracia; Bacteriovoracales; Bacteriovoracaceae.
GGAGGAUUGGCCGAGUGGUUGAUGGCGGCGGUCUUGAAAACCGUUAGGCCCUGUCAAGGGGUCUCGCAGGUUCGAAUCCUGUGUCCUCCGCCA